RNAcentral lists this ribosomal RNA (253 nucleotides) under uncultured bacterium. RNAcentral's name for it is "partial 16S ribosomal RNA". It matches the Rfam family "Bacterial small subunit ribosomal RNA", at positions 524 to 776 of the family's 1533-position model. The record is from RNAcentral.
GACGGAGGGUGCAAACGUUGUUCGGAUUCACUGGGCAUAAAGCGCACGUAGGCGGCUCGUUUAGUCAGACGUGAAAUCCCCCGGCUCAACCGGGGAACGGCAUCUGAUACUGGCGAGCUCGAGGACGGUAGGGGUGAGCGGAACUCCAGGUGGAGCGGUGAAAUGCGUAGAUAUCUGGAGGAACACCGGUGGCGAAAGCGGCUCACUAGGCCGUCUCUGACGCUAAGGUGCGAAAGCUAGGGUAGCAAACGGG